GCGUAUUGGCCCGGCCCGGCUGGGAGCGAUGAUGACGAUUGUCAUUGCCCGCAUCACACAGGACACCGGCCAGUAUUAUUGACUAAAAUCACGGGCCACGUGGUUUUGGUGGGAGGGGCAUGGGUGACCGCACUUCGUACUGACAUCUCCGAUCAGGGGGAUCUUCUUGAAGCCCCAGGUCUGAGUGGCAUUGUCGGGCAUGGCUCAGGAGCCCGGAAGGUCAAGGGGGAAGAUCUGGAGGCAGAAGUCCACAGUCAAGGUGUCAGGAGGGCCGACCUUCCUCCCAAAGGCUCCAGGGAGGAAUCCAGUAUUUUCUCCAGCUGCUGGUGGCCGUGGAGCUCCGCUCUCUGCCUACAUCUCCACAGCCUUUUCUGAGUCUUUCCCUCUUCUGAUAUGGAGGGAGCGCCCAGCAUGUUCCAGGGCCAGUCACGGGGAGCUGAAACCAUCCCAGCAGAUUCCGUGCCCGCCCUCACGGAGCUGACCUUGCAGUGGGGGAGGCAGACCCAGAAAACCAGAAACACAACUGCACGUUGCAGGGAGAGCUGCCAAGGGAACAAGGGAGAGGCAAGGCCAG
Long non-coding RNA from Herpailurus yagouaroundi (jaguarundi), 574 nucleotides. RefSeq lists it as uncharacterized. The record is from RefSeq and is a predicted model, not a curated record. The transcript is spliced from 3 exons. NCBI's taxonomy places the organism in Eukaryota, Metazoa, Chordata, Mammalia, Carnivora, Felidae.